GCCAGGCGUGGUAGUGCAUGCCUGUAAUUCUAACAACUUGGAGGCUGAGGCAGGAGGAUCAUGAGUUCAAAGCCAGUUUCAGCAAUUUAGUAAGGCCUUAAGCAACUUGGCAAGACCCUGUCUCAA
This 126-nucleotide small RNA is filed under the name Marmota monax (woodchuck). Lineage: Eukaryota; Metazoa; Chordata; Mammalia; Rodentia; Sciuridae. The record is from RNAcentral.